This 483-nucleotide ribosomal RNA is filed under the name uncultured bacterium. RNAcentral's name for it is "bacterial SSU rRNA". It matches the Rfam family "Bacterial small subunit ribosomal RNA", at positions 35 to 507 of the family's 1533-position model. The record is from RNAcentral.
GCUGGCGGCAGGCCUAACACAUGCAAGUCGGGCGGUAACAGGGAGUGCUUGCACUUCGCUGACGAGCGGCGGACGGGUGAGUAAUGCAUAGGAAUCUGCCUGGUAGUCGGGGGAUAGCCCAGAGAAAUUUGGAUUAAUACCGCAUACGCCCUACGGGGAAAGCAGGGGGGAUCUUCGGACCUUGCGCUAUCAGAUGAGCCUAUGUCGGAUUAGCUUGUUGGUGAGGUAACGGCUCACCAAGGCGACGAUCCGUAGCCGGUCUGAGAGGAUGAUCAGCCACACUGGGACUGAGACACGGCCCAGACUCCUACGGGAGGCAGCAGUGGGGGAUAUUGGACAAUGGGCGCAAGCCUGAUCCAGCCAUGCCGCGUGUGUGAAGAAGGCCUUCGGGUUGUAAAGCACUUUCAGCGAGGAGGAAAGGGGUGUUGCUAAUAUCAACGCCCUGUGACGUUACUCGCAGAAGAAGCACCGGCUAACUCCGUG